AUUGAACGCUGGCGGCAGGCCUAACACAUGCAAGUCGAACGAGUGGCGGACGGGUGAGUAAUGUCUGGGAAACUGCCUGAUGGAGGGGGAUAACUACUGGAAACGGUAGCUAAUACCGCAUACCAUCAGAUGUGCCCAGAUGGGAUUAGCUUGUUGGUGGGGUAACGGCUCACCAAGGCGACGUGCCCUAGCUGGUCUGAGAGGAUGACCAGCCACACGGGAACUGAGAACCGGUCCGGACUCCGACGGGAGGCAGCGGGGGGGAAUUUUGCACAAUGGGGGCAAGCCUGAUGCAGCCAUGCCGCGUGUAUGAAGAAGGCCUUCGGGUUGUAAAGUACUUUCAGGGGGGAGGCGUUACCCGCAGAAGAAGCACCGGCUAACUCCGUGCCAGCAGCCGCGGUAUAC
This 405-nucleotide ribosomal RNA is filed under the name uncultured bacterium. RNAcentral describes it as "partial 16S ribosomal RNA". It matches the Rfam family "Bacterial small subunit ribosomal RNA", at positions 29 to 526 of the family's 1533-position model. The record is from RNAcentral.